UACGGAGGGUGCAAGCGUUAUCCGGAUUCACUGGGUUUAAAGGGUGCGUAGGCGGGUAGGUAAGUCAGUGGUGAAAUCCUGGAGCUUAACUCCGGAACUGCCAUUGAUACUAUUUAUCUUGAAUAUUGUGGAGGUAAGCGGAAUAUGUCAUGUAGCGGUGAAAUGCUUAGAUAUGACAUAGAACACCAAUUGCGAAGGCAGCUUGCUACACAUAUAUUGACGCUGAUGCACGAAAGCGUGGGGAGCAAACAGG
This 253-nucleotide ribosomal RNA is filed under the name uncultured bacterium. RNAcentral's name for it is "partial 16S ribosomal RNA". It matches the Rfam family "Bacterial small subunit ribosomal RNA", at positions 524 to 776 of the family's 1533-position model. The record is from RNAcentral.